AAUGCGAGCCCUAUUUAAUAGUCUAUAACUCGCCGUAUGCAGUCAAAUUUACCAUGAGAAAAAGGCAACGCAAUAGCUGAGGCAAUUGACAAAAUGCUUGUGCUUCUGCACAAAGGCAAGACUUUCAAAGUCAGGUCUCCGUAAUUCUCUCCGUCAUUCAGUUAUUCAGUCAAUCUGAAGUGUCCUUCACGAUUUUGCGCCCGAGAGGGUCGACUGCGUGCAUGCUA
This 227-nucleotide long non-coding RNA is filed under the name Malus domestica (apple). RNAcentral's name for it is "long non-coding RNA (MDOM_LNC011725)". Lineage: Eukaryota; Viridiplantae; Streptophyta; Magnoliopsida; Rosales; Rosaceae. The record is from RNAcentral.